This 1064-nucleotide long non-coding RNA is filed under the name Bemisia tabaci. Its description in RNAcentral is "lncRNA ENSSSA3NGG001159". The record is from RNAcentral. Lineage: Eukaryota; Metazoa; Arthropoda; Insecta; Hemiptera; Aleyrodidae.
CCGAAAGAUUUCGUGUGUCCGCAAUGCCACGAAAAAUCAGGGGCAGCCGAAUGCCUUCUAAUCAGGAAUCCAAGCGAAUGUUCGCUGUGGUAGUUUUACUGUGGAACCCCAGUGAUGAUGGGGAGCGACGGGUUAAAAAUGACAAGUUUCAAUGACUGCUCUUCAAGGCACAAACAUUAAAGUCGAUGAGCAUCGCUACGCCUCCACGCAGCGUAUUUCAUAGCGGUAAAGGUGUCGUAGAUGCCAUCACACAGCUGUUGUGCAGUUUGGAACGAGAGUGGUUUUAGCCGAUGACUGUGACAUUUCAGAAUGUAAAUGGCCGCGAGGAAGCAAAGGCGCCAGUCUACUGUUUUAUCGCAGAUUCGACGGUGAGAAGCCUCCGUCCAAAACAGUAAAACCCACCGCUCGUAAGAAUGCAGCCUCCAAGGGAUCGCCAAAAAGUCCUCUAGCAAGACCUCUGCCUACCGAUAAAACCACUGCAACAGCAUCGGAAGCUCCAAAAAAUGCAGUUGCAAAACGUGCGACUGGUAAAAGGCAGAAUGUUGUCGGAAAGCAAUUAUCGACUUACAGAAACGAGGCUUCAAACCCAUUGCCUGCCUUUUCGAAUCCCGAUUUGUCUUGUUAUGCUAACUCAGAUCUGCAAUGCCUCCUCAGUUACGAGCCGUUACGAUGUGCUCUAUCGAGUUCAGCAGAUGAAACAGCUUUGAAAAGACUUGCUACAGACUACGUCACUGCAGCAAAUAGAGGGAAAAAGCUCACUUCUUUCCAUGUGCGUCAGGAAGUAGACUUAAUGUCUUUCGAUGGCCACCAAAUACCUUACGCUGAUCCCGCACAACAAGAUGCUCAAUUAUUCUUGGUUUCCUUGAUUAAUUGCCAUGCUAUCUUAAACGAACAUACAAAAUUUACUGUAUUGUAUGAGAGAAAGUGUGGUUUCAAUAUGUGUGGGAAAACCAACAGGUCGGAGCCACAAUUGGACAACGUCUUCAGACUGCCCACUGUUCACAGCCACAGAACAAUUGCUGAACUGUUGGAAAUCCCAUCGACUUAUCAAAAUAUCGAGGAUU